UACGAAGGGGCUAGCGUUGCUCGGAAUCACUGGGCGUAAAGGGCGCGUAGGCGGCGUUUUAUGUCGGGGGUGAAAGCCUGUGGCUCAACCACAGAAUGGCCUUCGAUACUGGGACGCUUGAGUAUGGUAGAGGUUGGUGGAACUGCGAGUGUAGAGGUGAAAUUCGUAGAUAUUCGCAAGAACACCGGUGGCGAAGGCGGCCAACUGGACCAUUACUGACGCUGAGGCGCGAAAGCGUGGGGAGCAAACAGG
This 252-nucleotide ribosomal RNA is filed under the name uncultured bacterium. RNAcentral's name for it is "partial 16S ribosomal RNA". It matches the Rfam family "Bacterial small subunit ribosomal RNA", at positions 524 to 776 of the family's 1533-position model. The record is from RNAcentral.